This 492-nucleotide ribosomal RNA is filed under the name uncultured bacterium. Its description in RNAcentral is "partial 16S ribosomal RNA". It matches the Rfam family "Bacterial small subunit ribosomal RNA", at positions 29 to 507 of the family's 1533-position model. The record is from RNAcentral.
AGUGAACGCUGGCGGUAGGCCUAACACAUGCAAGUCGAACGGCAGCACAGUAAGAGCUUGCUCUUACGGGUGGCGAGUGGCGGACGGGUGAGGAAUACAUCGGAAUCUACUUUUUCGUGGGGGAUAACGUGGGGAAACUUAUGCUAAUACCGCAUACGACCUACGGGUGAAAGCAGGGGAUCUUCGGACCUUGCGCGAUUGAAUGAGCCGAUGUCGGAUUAGCUAGUUGGCGGGGUAAAGGCCCACCAAGGCGACGAUCCGUAGCUGGUCUGAGAGGAUGAUCAGCCACACUGGAACUGAGACACGGUCCAGACUCCUACGGGAGGCAGCAGUGGGGAAUAUUGGACAAUGGGCGCAAGCCUGAUCCAGCCAUACCGCGUGGGUGAAGAAGGCCUUCGGGUUGUAAAGCCCUUUUGUUGGGAAAGAAAAGCAGCAGGUUAAUACCCCGCUGUUCUGACGGUACCCAAAGAAUAAGCACCGGCUAACUUCGUG